Molecule: ribosomal RNA, 301 nt
Filed under: uncultured bacterium
Lineage: Bacteria
Description: partial 16S ribosomal RNA
Rfam family: Bacterial small subunit ribosomal RNA
Source: RNAcentral
CAGUCGCCACGGUAAAACGUAGGGUGCAAGCGUUAAUCGGAAUUACUGGGCGUAAAGCGUGCGCAGGCGGUUAUAUAAGACAGAUGUGAAAUCCCCGGGCUCAACCUGGGAACUGCAUUUGUGAAUGUAUAGCUAGAGUACGGCAGAGGGGGAUGGAAUUCCGCGUGUAGCAGUGAAAUGCGUAGAUAUGCGGAGGAACACCGAUGGCGAAGGCAAUCCCCUGGGCCUGUACUGACGCUCAUGCACGAAAGCGUGGGGAGCAAACAGGAUUAGAUACCCCAGUAGUCCCUGUCUCUUAUAC